This 106-nucleotide small nuclear RNA is filed under the name Pectinophora gossypiella (pink bollworm). Lineage: Eukaryota; Metazoa; Arthropoda; Insecta; Lepidoptera; Gelechiidae. The record is from RNAcentral.
CUAAAAAAAUUAUAUAUACUAAAAUUGGAACGAUGCGAUACAGAGAAGAUUAGCAUGGACCCUGCGUAAGGAUGACACGCAAAAUCGUGAAGCGUUCCACAUUUUU